AGCCAUGCAUGUCCAAGUAUAAAUCUGGUACAAGAUGAAACUGCGAAUGGCUCAUUAAAUCAGUUCUAGUUUCUUUGAUGGUGUCUUACUACAUGGAUAACCGUAGUAACAUAGAGCUAAUACGUGCUUCAAAUCCUGACUGGUGCUCUCGGGUGCCUGGAAUAGGAUGUAUUUAUUAGAUCCAAAACCAAUGCGUUAUCGCGUUCCUUCGGGUGCGUGGUGGCGGUUAUGUUGGUGAUUCAUGCUAACUUUUCGGAUCGCAUGGCCUUGCGCUGGCGAUGCUUCAUUCAAGUUUCUGCCCUAUCAACUGUCGAUGGUAGGGUAUUGGCCUACCAUGGUUGUAACGGGUGACGGAGAAUUAGGGUUCGGUUCCGGAGAGGGAGCCUGAGAAAUGGCUACCACAUCUAUGGAUGGCAGCAGGCGCGCAAAUUACCCAAUCCCGACCUGGGGAGGUAGUGACAAUAAAUAACAAUGCGGUUCCUUCUUUGGUUCUGCAAUUGGAAUGAGAACAAUCUAAACACCUUAACGAGGAGCAAUUGGAGGGCAAGUCUGGUGCCAGCAGCCGCGGUAAUUCCAGCUCCAAUAGCGUAUAUUAAAGUUGUUGCAGUUAAAAAGCUCGUAGUUGGAUUUCGGAGCGGUCGGGUUGGUCCGCCCAGCGUGGUGUGCACUGGCCUUGGUGGUAUGGCUGGGGUUGCUUCUUUCACGAGGGGCUUCCUUUAGCCUGCUGCCCUUGUUGCGUGUACACGUAGCAAGUGACCGUUCUUCUCCCUCGGAGACGGAGUCUGUCCUUUACUGGAUGGGCUUUGGAUGCGAGGUGUUUACUUUGAAAAAAUUAGAGUGUUCAAAGCAGGCCUUAUCUUCGCUUGAAUACAUUAGCAUGGAAUAAUGGAAUAGGACUCUGUGCCUAUUUUGUUGGUUUGAAGGCAGAGAGUAAUGAUUAAUAGGGACAGUUGGGGGCAUUCGUAUUUAAUUGUCAGAGGUGAAAUUCUUGGAUUUCUGAAAGACGAACAACUGCGAAAGCAUUUGCCAAGGAUGUUUUCAUUAAUCAAGAACGAAAGUUAGGGGUUCGAAGACGAUCAGAUACCGUCGUAGUCCUAACCAUAAACAAUGCCGACUAGGGAUCAGCGUACGUUCGUUCUAUGGGACGUCGUUGGCACCUUACGA
RNAcentral lists this ribosomal RNA (1164 nucleotides) under Trychella sp. NIWA 126306. RNAcentral describes it as "SSU rRNA". It matches the Rfam family "Eukaryotic small subunit ribosomal RNA", at positions 47 to 1093 of the family's 1831-position model. Lineage: Eukaryota; Metazoa; Porifera; Hexactinellida; Lyssacinosida; Euplectellidae. The record is from RNAcentral.